GAUGAACGCUGGCGGCGUGCCUAAUACAUGCAAGUCGAGCGAACAGACGAGGAGCUUGCUCCUCUGACGUUAGCGGCGGACGGGUGAGUAACACGUGGAUAACCUCCCUAUAAGACUGGGAUAACUUCGGGAAACCGGAGCUAAUACCGGAUAAUAUAUUGAACCGCAUGGUUCAAUAGUGAAAGACGGUUUUGCUGUCACUUAUAGAUGGAUCCGCGCCGCAUUAGCUAGUUGGUAAGGUAACGGCUUACCAAGGCAACGAUGCGUAGCCGACCUGAGAGGGUGAUCAGCCACACUGGACCGGAGACACGGUCCAGACUCCUAAGGGAGGCAGCAGUAGGGAAUAUUACGCAAUGGGCGAAAGCCUGACGGAGCAAGGCCGCGUGAGGGAGGAAGAUCUUCGGAUCGUAAAACUGUGUUAUUAGGGAAGAACAAAUGUGUAAGUAACUAUGCACGUCUUGACGGUACCUAAUCAGAAAGCCACGGCUAACUACGUG
RNAcentral lists this ribosomal RNA (497 nucleotides) under uncultured bacterium. RNAcentral describes it as "partial 16S ribosomal RNA". It matches the Rfam family "Bacterial small subunit ribosomal RNA", at positions 28 to 507 of the family's 1533-position model. The record is from RNAcentral.